RNAcentral lists this ribosomal RNA (400 nucleotides) under uncultured bacterium. Its description in RNAcentral is "bacterial SSU rRNA". It matches the Rfam family "Bacterial small subunit ribosomal RNA", at positions 355 to 747 of the family's 1533-position model. The record is from RNAcentral.
UGGGGAAUUUUGGACAAUGGGCGAAAGCCUGAUCCAGCCAUUCCGCGUGCAGGAUGAAGGCCCUCGGGUUGUAAACUGCUUUUGUACAGAACGAAAAAGCUCUGGCUAAUACCUGGAGUCCAUGACGGUACUGUAAGAAUAAGCACCGGCUAACUACGUGCCAGCAGCCGCGGUAAUACGUAGGGUGCAAGCGUUAAUCGGAAUUACUGGGCGUAAAGCGUGCGCAGGCGGUUUUGUAAGACAGAGGUGAAAUCCCCGGGCUCAACCUGGGAACUGCCUUUGUGACUGCAAGGCUGGAGUGCGGCAGAGGGGGAUGGAAUUCCGCGUGUAGCAGUGAAAUGCGUAGAUAUGCGGAGGAACACCGAUGGCGAAGGCAAUCCCCUGGGCCUGCACUGACGCU